Heterocephalus glaber (naked mole-rat) is the source of this 638-nucleotide non-coding RNA. The record is from RefSeq and is a predicted model, not a curated record. Lineage: Eukaryota; Metazoa; Chordata; Mammalia; Rodentia; Bathyergidae.
GGGCAGAGACGUGAUCCUCGCUGCCGGGACACCACGGAGGUGGGAGGUGCGUCAGCCACGCCCGGAGGCCUGCCACCUCGAGACCAAGCAUCGUAGGAUCGCGGAGGUUCAGCAGUUCCCUCACGGAGAGCAGCACUGGCGUGCAAUGCGCGCUCUCCUCCAGGCCCUGGGCAGGUUGGGGUCGUGUUUUGAGCCGGCCCUCAGCUCCCACUCACCACAGAGAUUCGCCCGUUUGCCCACCCAAGAAGCGCUCACCAAACUGAGGAAAAGCUCUUUAAAUUGGGCGGCAUCGUGCUCCAGGCGCUCGGCCGCCUGGGUCCGCUCAUCCUCACUGCAGCACACGAGGCGGCCCUGCAUCAAUGCGUCCUUUCCGUCCAAUGCACCUGAACUGCGGGGUUCCGCACACGCCAGAAGUCCCUGCAGAACCGCGACGUCCGCUCACACACUCGGUCCAGCAACUCAGAGCUUGACAGCCAUUGGCGCGAGGGCAGAGCUGCGAACAGGGGCUGGGGAAGGGUGAGUCAGAGACGGGGCUGGAGAAAUGAUUCAUAUCUGGCAGUCUCCACAGACCCCGCUUACUUGCCCCGUUUCUCCACCUCCCACCCACAUUUUGACGGGAAGGAAGCCUCACUUGGAGC